AUGUGACCGCUGAGCAAAUGCAUCCCGAUCCCGAUCCCGAUCCCGAUCUACUCCCGUCCCCUGCUUCACUUCAGUCUGCGCUACGGCGACGACGGCAGAUCUCGUCGGCGCUAGCACCACCAGCGGCAGCGCCGAAGAUCUCGAUCUGUUGUCACGAGGUGAGAUCGCCGUCUUCCCGUCAACUUACAACCACAUCCGGCGUCGGCAAAGCGUGCUAUUUCCUCCGGCUUGAUCUGAUGACAGACAUCGAUAAGCGAUUUCCUCCGGUUGGAUCUGGCAUCGACAAGCGUGCUGUUUCCUCCGGCUUGAUCUGGCAUCGAUCUGGAAUCGCAUCUACUCUUUGACCUUCCCCGCUCCAGAUUUAUCCACCGCAUCGACCCGGGCUCUCCCUCCGAGCACCUCCCGACUGCAAGAACUGAAUCUAUUCUUCAGUAGUUUAUAACGGGGCGUUAUUGCAAAGGAUACUGCUAAUUGGAGCUGGAGAGUUGCUAUCCAGGAGCUUGUUUUACUCUCCACAUGUUCCAUCGACUGCAAAGGGCAUUGCAAGUUGGAGAUGAGCAUCCUGAAUGAAGAACAACUGAUUGAUGAGGUCAAGAAGUCAAAUGAAGAAUAAUUGAAGAGGAUCUCAAUUAUUGACAUUGGCGGGUUGUGCAAGACAACCUUCGUCAAAACGGUUUAUAACAAGUCAAAGCCUGUUUGAUUGUUUCUUUUGUCCAUGUUGGUCAAAAUCCUGAUUUGAAGAAAAUUUUGAAACACAUUCUUUAUGGCUUUGAUAAACGCAAAAUUUUGAACAUAUAUUGCAAAAGAUAAAGGAUACUCAUUGACCAACUCAGAGUUUCUAAUGGACAAAAGGUACGUGCACAUAGUAAACGUCUAUUUUAUUUAGAAGUGAAUCAAAUGGCUAUGAAAUGUCUUUUCUUAAUCUCUUAAGCACAUUACUUUUUUUUAAUGAUGACAUAGUUCAUAAAAUGGAUCUCUUUCAAAUAAGACUACUAAAUAAUUUUCUGUAAAAGCAUAUAUAUUAAAGCGAGCAAUAUCGAGAGCUAUUUUGAGCAAUGUGAUUGUGUACCAUAGCCAUCAUUACUAUAACUAGUAUUUUAUUUAGUUAGUAAUAACCAAAUUGAGCAAGAAAAGAUUAGUUCCAUUUGCUCAAUUUUAUGUGUCGUGGGGGUUAAAAAAGAUUCUAUUUUGAAGGAAAUGAAGGGUAUAUUGUUGCUCAACUGUUAUGAUUUGCUUCUCGUCUGAAGACUAGUUUAUUAUAUAUAAUCAUAUUUUCGAAAGAUUGAGAGAUUGAGAGAGAUUGCAAGCUGAUACCCAGUGCAAGGGAACAUCAUUGAUACAACUAUAAUAAUUCUUCCACUUCACGAGUCAUUGGACAACUGGGAAAUAUGUUUAGAUAUAAUAAGCAUGUCUUCAGAUGAGAAGGCAGAUCAUAAUAGCUGAGCAGUAAUAUCCUUCUUUUUUUAAAUAGCGUCUUUUGUAACCCCACAGCCCACUGAAUUGAGCAAGUGCAACAAAUCAUUCUUUGCUCCAUCUGAUUAUUACUAACCAAAAUACUAGCUAUAGUAAUGAUGGCUAAUGGUACACCACCACAUUUCUUGAAAAUAGCUCUUGACACUCCUGCAUUUGUUAGGUUCACAUUUGUUCUUGCUCAUAAAUGUUUUUAUAUAGACAAUUAUUAGGGAGUCUUAUUUAAAAUAUCUUCCAUUUUAUGACAUGUGUCAUCAUAGGUAAGAGUGCCAUUAUCCAAAGACACUGAUUUUGUGUGUUUUUAUGGUUUUUGACAAGCCAUACUUAAUACAUCUCCGCAUUUUUAUUAUUACAUGUCAUCAAUAAUGUUAAGAUUACAUGUCAUUAAUAAUGUUAUGUACCUAUGACAAUUUUUGAGGAUGUUAAUUGGCAAAUCAGUUUUAGAUACAACUAAAAGCGAACUAUAGGAAUUUAGAAAAUCAUGGUAAAAAUAAUUACCAAUAUCGUGCUAGCUUAGAAAAUAAAAGAAGGCAAAAAAAGGAUUUAAAAA
Molecule: long non-coding RNA, 2020 nt
Organism: Hordeum vulgare subsp. vulgare (domesticated barley)
Lineage: Eukaryota; Viridiplantae; Streptophyta; Magnoliopsida; Poales; Poaceae
Exons: 4
Source: RefSeq, a predicted model, not a curated record